Molecule: ribosomal RNA, 498 nt
Filed under: uncultured bacterium
Lineage: Bacteria
Description: bacterial SSU rRNA
Rfam family: Bacterial small subunit ribosomal RNA
Source: RNAcentral
ACUCAAAGGAAUUGACGGGGGCCCGCACAAGCGGUGGAGCAUGUGGUUUAAUUCGACGCAACGCGAAGAACCUUACCAAGGCUUGACAUGGAUAUGAAGUAUUUAGAGAUAGGUACGUCUUUCGGGACAUAUCACACAGGUGGUGCAUGGUUGUCGUCAGCUCGUGUCGUGAGAUGUUGGGUUAAGUCCCGCAACGAGCGCAACCCCUAUGUUUAGUAGCCAGCAAGUAAUGUUGGGCACACUAGAGAGACUGCCGUGGAUAACACGGAGGAAGGUGGGGACGACGUCAAAUCAUCAUGCCCCUUAUGUCUUGGGCUACACACGUGCUACAAUGGGUGAAACAAAGUGAAGCAAGAUGGCGACAUGGAGCGAAUCACGAAACACACCCUCAGUUCGGAUUGUACUCUGCAACUCGAGUGCAUGAAGUUGGAAUCGCUAGUAAUCGCGAAUCAGCAUGUCGCGGUGAAUACGUUCCCGGGCCUUGUACACACCGCCCGU